Molecule: ribosomal RNA, 403 nt
Filed under: uncultured bacterium
Lineage: Bacteria
Description: partial 16S ribosomal RNA
Rfam family: Bacterial small subunit ribosomal RNA
Source: RNAcentral
GACGAACGCUGGCGGCGUGCCUAAUACAUGCAAGUCGAACGCAGUGGGGACGGGUGAGUAACACGUGGGUAACCUCCCAUCAGAGGGGAUAACACUUGGAUACAGGUGCUAAACCGCUACUGAUGGAUGGACCAGCGGUGCAUUAGUGAGUAGGUGAGGUAACGGCUCAACAAGGCUACGAUGCAUAGCCGACCUGAGAGGGUGAUCAGCCACACUGGGACUGAGACACGGCCCAGACUCCUACGGGAGGCAGCAGUGGGGAAUCUGCGACAAUGGACGAAAGUCUGACCGAGCCACGCCGCGUGAAUGAAGAAGGUUUUCGGAUCGUAAAGCUCUGUUGUUAGAGAGGCGUUAUCUAACGAGAAAGCCACGGCUAACUACGUGCCAGCAGCCGCGGUAAUAC